CCCUUAGAUGUUCUGGGCCGCACGCGCGCUACACUGAUGCAUUCAACGAGUUUCUUCCUGGUCCGAGAGGAAUGGGUAACCUUUUGAAAGUGCAUCGUGAUAGGGAUAGACUAUUGCAAUUAUUGGUCUUCAACGAGGAGUUCCCAGUAAGCGCGAGUCAUAAGCUCGCGUUGAUUACGUCCCUGCCCUUUGUACACACCGCCCGUCGCUACUACCGAUUGAACGGUUUAGUGAGGGCCUCGGAUUGGUCUCGGCCCGCUCUUUACCGGGCGGCGCCGUUGGUCGAGAAGACGCUCGAACUUGAUCGUUUAGAGGAAGUAAAAGUCGGAACA
Molecule: ribosomal RNA, 332 nt
Filed under: uncultured eukaryote
Lineage: Eukaryota
Description: partial 18S ribosomal RNA
Rfam family: Eukaryotic small subunit ribosomal RNA
Source: RNAcentral